This 1274-nucleotide long non-coding RNA is filed under the name Homo sapiens (human). RNAcentral's name for it is "long non-coding RNA NONHSAT171159.1". The record is from RNAcentral. Lineage: Eukaryota; Metazoa; Chordata; Mammalia; Primates; Hominidae.
GUUCAGAUGAUAUUUUUCAGAGUGCUGAUGUUACUUUGGACAGUGGUUUGGCUUGAUCUGUUUUGUUCCCACUCAUACAUCAUCUCCAAGGUAGAAACUACAAGCAAAGUGUCUGACAUGGUCCAGCUCCACAUCAAAGCGUCUAACUGAUGGGCUGCGAGGAAAGCAGAGCCCGUCCUGGUUAUAGUUUCCAAAAACAUUCCUGGGCUCAGAAGUGCUGACGAGCCACGUUGUGUGCACCAUCAAACUCUAAUCCUUGUCUUUUCCUUCAUAUGUGGGCACCUUGAGAAAUCAAGGUGUAUACAUGUCCUGCCUACUGGCAAGGCGACUUCCGGGCACAGCCCCACAGUGGAACUUGCUUAUUCUGGGACAUUUAGCCUGUCAGCUGCAGUCUUCCCACAGGGCUCCUGCAGCCUUCUUCUCUGUUCUCUGCUCACAUGCAAGGUUUGCCUUUAAACCCACAGAUAUGAAUACUUACUAGAGUGGGGGUUCCUCCAUAUCCUCACCUCCAUAUGUCAACAUACAGGGUUUAAAGCAGUGCACAUUUGAGCCACCUGCUGGGAGGUAGACAACCACGGUUUUGUAAGCAUUGAUUGCCUUCUCUCUCUCUCUCUCUCUCUCUCUCUCUCUCUCUCUCUCUCUCUCUCUCUCCUCUCUGACAGGGUCUCACUCUGUUGCCCAUUAUUAAUAGGAGAGCAGUAGUGUGAUCAUGGCUCAGGCAGCCUCGAACUCCCAGACUCGAGAUCCUCCUGCCUCAGCCUCUUUAGUAGCUAAAACUACACUGCAUUUGGCUGAUUUUUCCUUUUUUUUUUUUUUUUUUGUAGAAACAGGGUCUUGCUGUGUUGCCCAGGCUGGUAUUGAACUCCUGGCCUUAAGCAAUCCUCCCGCCUCAGCCUCCCAAAGUGCUGGGAUUACAGGUGUGAGCUGCUGUGCCUGGCCUGAUUGGUUGUUUAAUGUGCAAUCCUCUGGGGGUCUUGUUAAAAAUGCAGAUUCUGAUGCAGCAUGUCUGAGAUGUGGCUCCCAUGGGGAGCUCCAAGGUCCAGCCCUCCUUGGACCGCCCUUUGAGUAGUGAGGCUCCAGGAGAUCCCACAAGCUUCCAGAUUUGACAAUUCUGAGCUUCCUCAACUCCAGAGCCAAACCCCUAACCGAAAGUGGGAUCAGAGGCCAGGCAUGGUGGCUCAUGCCUGUAAUUCCAGCACUUUGGGAGGCCGAGGUGGGAAGAUCACCUAAGGUCAGGAGUUCGAGACCAGCCUGGCCAACAUAGUGAAGCCCUG